GUAGGUGGCAAGCGUUGUCCGGAAUUAUUGGGCGUAAAGCGCGCGCAGGCGGUUCUUUAAGUCUGAUGUGGAAGCCCACGGCUCAACCGUGGAGGGUCAUUGGAAACUGGAGAACUUGAGUACAGAAGAGGAAAGCGGAAUUCCACGUGUAGCGGUGAAAUGCGUAGAGAUGUGGAGGAACACCAGUGGCGAAGGCGGCUUUCUGGUCUGUAACUGACGCUGAGGCGCGAAAGCGUGGGGAGCAAACAGGAUUAGAUACCCUGGUAGUCCACGCCGUAAACGAUGAGUGCUAAGUGUUAGGGGGGUUUCCGCCCCCCUUAGUGCUGCAGCUAACGCAUUAAGCACUCCGCCUGGGAGUACGGCCGCAAGGCUG
RNAcentral lists this ribosomal RNA (373 nucleotides) under uncultured organism. RNAcentral describes it as "partial 16S ribosomal RNA". It matches the Rfam family "Bacterial small subunit ribosomal RNA", at positions 527 to 896 of the family's 1533-position model. The record is from RNAcentral.